Molecule: long non-coding RNA, 5291 nt
Filed under: Malus domestica (apple)
Lineage: Eukaryota; Viridiplantae; Streptophyta; Magnoliopsida; Rosales; Rosaceae
Description: long non-coding RNA (MDOM_LNC011519)
Source: RNAcentral
UGGGUUGAUAUCCUUUCCGAUAAUAGGGAGGAAUUGAUUGAAACCCUAGCUAUAUAACCUAGGAGCAGUCCCUGCUUCCAUACCGAUAGAAACUCACGGAAACUAUAAGCCUAUUUCGAUAGUAGAGUUCAUUGAGAGGUACUGGAAGUAGAAGACUACUUCUACUUUGUUCGUAAGGAUCAAUGGCUUCACCUUCAUAACCAUGUCUUCCGAAUUCUACAGAUAAGUUCAAUAUAAUUAGUCGAUCUCUAUUUCAUAUUGAUUUGAUUUAUUCGUGAUCCUAAUGUCUUGUUGUUGUGAUUUCAGAAUAUGUCUUACAUGUGGUAUCAGAGCCACACAACAAGCUUAGGGUUCGGAUUAAAGGUAAUUAUUUGAUUACAAAAUAUUGUUUUGGUUGGCUGAUUUCUAUCAUUCUAUCCUAUGAAAUCAGUUAACAUGCUUCCACGAUUCUGAAUUCUGUAUCAAUUAAAUUUUCGUAAGUUUAUUAUGUUUAUAUUUUACGGAAAAAUAAAAGUAUAUAUUUAUAUAUAUAUAUAUAUAUAAUCAAAGUCACUAUUGUUCUAGUACUUCACCGUUAAAAGAAAACUUCUUUUCGAAUUGCAAUAUGAAAUGGUUUCUUUUCGAAUUGCAUGAAUUUUGUAAACUAAGUGCAGGUUUUGAUGGCGUUUGACCAAACCUAAUGUUGGAUGAUAUUUGGAUUUAUUAUAUAAUCCUCUUAUUAUCGAUUUAGUUGCGAUAAUUCGAUUUCAUUAUUAUUAAAAAUUAAAAAAAAAAAAAAAAGGUGAGAUAGGCCGUUGAAACAGUACGGGGUCUUCUCCCUUGCGUGUGAAGUCUUUAGCUCUCUUGCAAAACAGCUCAAUAGCGGCUUUUGGAUCUAUUUGGUGUUUUCCGGUAAGAAUUCUCUCCGGAAAGGUAUGAAAUCGUACAAUUUAAUCUACCUAAUUUGGUUGAGUUAAAAUUAAGCUUUUGGUUUCAACUAAAUUGAUCAAGAUAUUGUUGAUUCUGGGCAAUCAACCUUUAUUUUCUUAUUUAUUUUUCCAUCUCAAAAUUGAUUAAGUUGAGAAUUUAUGCUUCCGCUUAUUACGUUGCAAAAUCUAGCUUUAAAAAAAAAAAAAAAAAAAAGUUUGCUUGUAUUUUGGGCUGUUCUCUGUUACGAUUAUGUCAAAUUAUUAAAUUAACCCUUUCAGAUGUGAGUUUUCUGGAUGAAUAUUGUAUUGGAUUUCAUGCUUUCAUGAUUUAAAAUUUGGAUUUAGCCUUGUUAAUUAACAUGUUCUAAAAGGCAUUCCCAAUUUGUUUGUUUUCUGAUGAACCGAUAAUGGUGAAACUAUUUGGCAACUUACGUAUAUAUGAACAAAUUAUUGUAUUAUGAAGGAUUGCUUGCUGUCAUAAUUUUGAUGUGUGGUUAAUUACAUUAUUAUGAAUUGCUUUCAGACGGUUCGUAUUAGGUUUUCAAUUUUUUAAUAAAUUGAUUCAAUUGUGGUGUGAAUUAUUUAUUGCCUAAACUUUUGUCAAAAUUAAUCGUGCUACAUUAUAGUGGUAUGACUCCAUUAAAGUCUCAUUAAAGGGAAACCCAUUCAUUUCAAUAACCUGGGCUUGAUAGACUUCCAUAACUCCAAAUAUUAUGAAAUUCGGUCAUUUCGUAAUAUUAAAUGGAUUGUAGACACUGGUAUUUUUUCAAGUUUUCUGGACAAGAAAUGGAUUUAUGGUAAAUUUUUAAGUGUGAUACUAUGUUGCUGGAAUUCUGCAGACUUCUGCAGAAUAGUCUGUUUGUGAUAUUAUUUUGAUAUAUCAAUGUAACUCAUAAAUUCUUGAGAUUUUAGUAUGAUAUACAUUGAGAUGUUUAUUUGAAGUAUGGAAAUUUUCACCAGCAUUGGUCUGAAAAUGAGUUACUGGUGAAUUUUUAAUCUUGGGACUGUACUGCAGAUUUACUCAGCUUCUGCAGCACAUUUCAUUUCGAUUUUAAUUUUAGCCCACUUUUAAGAUUGCAAAAAGAAUGGAACUUUGGGUGACAGUAAAUUUAUAUGUCUACUUCAUUUCUAAAAAAUUUCAUGCAUAUUGGAGAAAAAUUAAAUUUUUGGUGAAUUAUUUAGUCUCCGGUAUGUGCUGCAGAAUUUUUGCCGUUUCUGCAGCAUAUUCCAUUUAUAAUUUUCUUUUAGUACACUUGUAAAGUCUCAAAAAUUAUGAAAUUUUGGGAAAUAAAAACCUUUUAUGUUUACUUUAUGUCUCAAAAGUUUGAUGCAUAUCGGAUGAACAAUGAAUAUUUAGUGAAUUUGUAAUCUCAGGUAUGUACUGAACAUUUUCUGCUGUUUCUGCAGCACCUCUCUUUUCAAAUUCAUUUUUGGCUCGCUUAUAAGAUUUUAAAAAUCAUGAAAUUUUGGAAAAUAGUAGUCAUAUAUGUCUAGUUCAUACUUGAAAAUUUUCAUGACAAUCUAAAGAGAAUUGAGUUUUUAGUGAAUUUGCAAACUAAAGUAGUACUGCUGAAUUUUGGUACUUCAAACUAGUUUUGUUAUGUGAUAUUGUUUAACUGAUUUGUGUACAUCUAUUGGUACCAAUUAUUGUACAAGUUUAUGGUUCCAAUAUGUCCUUAUUAUAUGCAAAUUCUCAAUACUAAUGAAUUUUAUAUAGACAACAUUGAUUGAAUUUUGAUUUAAAGAUGUAUUGGUUUGUUUUGCUUAAACCAAUGUUUUGUUUGGUCAUCAAUUCUGAUUAUGAUGAUUGUCUUUUGAGAGAAAAUUGGAAAGUGGCAUCAGUUUACUAAUUGAUCAUUUUGGUCGCUAUCGAAUAACUGAAUAACCAUGUUUUCUCUUUCCAGAACUCUAUUGUUCAAUGGCAAUAACGACAUACUUUUGUGUCUGAUUGAAUCUUUUGAGAAUCAUUGAAUAUCCAACUAAACGGUUAUUUAAUACUAUUCUAAAGGAUUAUUUUGAAAAGAAAAAAAAAUCAGAAUUCUAAUUUAUAUGGUGAAUACUUUUGUCCCAAUGGGAAUUUUAGGAAAUCACUCACCAAUUAUAAAUUAGUAUUAUAGCAAAUCAUAAAGUCCUUCUAACGUAUUUUCAUGGCCAAAGCUGUUGAAGCUAUAUGUAUUUUGUGUAUUUUAUGUUUUGGCUAGCUAUGCAGGUAUUUUCUUUGCAUGAUGAGUUUCUGCCCAAAGGUGUAACAAUCAUGCAAUUUGAAGUUGGUUCGAUCCACCACAACUCGACUACUUCCAUGAUGAAUCUUGCAGAAUCAAGAAUGAGUAGGUAAAUUUGUCAAUCUUUUGCCUUAAUUUUCUGUGAGUUCUAAAUUGGAUUAAAAUUAUUGUUAAAAUUUGAUGUUGUUGAGAUAUCUAUGUGUUUACUUUAAUUCUACUUUGUUUUAGAAUUAAAACAUAAAUUUUGAGUUUGGAUUCUCUUAUUAGGUUUCAUUUUAAUUUUUGAUCUAAUAUUUAACACAUAUGUGGGUCUUCUCUCAUACACUAAAAUAAAUUUUGUAGCCAUUGGUUGAUAUAAUCACUUGUCACUUUUAGAUCGAUUAAUGGUGUUGAGAUAUUGUUCCUUAUAUAAUCCUAAUUUUGAUACAUAUAGAUUGGUUUAUUAUGUCCAAACCAACUAUUUUGUGACUCAACAAUUUAUUUAAGAAAUUUUUGUGUUUUGAGCAUAUUAAAGAUUGGAAAUUGGUUUUAUUUAAAUUAUGAUUAAAUUUGAAAUUUUGGUGGAGCUUGGGAAAUACUAAUGGAGUUUUGCAUACCUUGCAACGUGUCCUAUUUGAUUACAAUUUUGAUAGUUUUUCUAACUCCAAACUUUGUAAAAAUUUGCCAUGUUAUAUUAUAUAAUGGAUUGUGUACUCUAUCUUUAUUGAUUCAACUAGCCUAUAUUUUGUUAUAUGAAAACCACUUUCUCUAGUGUUUAAUCUUGCAAUUUUGAGUGUUUGCCCAAGUGGGAGAAAUAAUGUAUUAUGGGCUUCACACUCAUCAAUUUUGCAUGUUUUUAAUGAUCAUAGUUUUGGUAGAUAAAACUUACAUUAUCAUACUUGUUUAUAUUUUAUUUGUUACAUAUGCAACUAAUCUUGUAGGAAAUUCAAGAAGGGUUAAUGAGUAUAUUCUGCUCAAAGGUGUUUUACUUAUUAAUUCUUAUAUGUUGUUCAAGAAAUUGGACUUGUGAUUUAUAUGUUAUUGAUGAAUAAUUAAUCUGCUCAAAAGUGUUUUCUUAUUCAGUACAAAUAUAAAUCAAUGUAUAGUGAAACAUGAAAUUGACAAGAUUGCAUAUACUUCAUCUGCUCAAAAGUGUUGAAGCUAUAUACGUUUGCCCUUGUAUUUUGUGUUUUAGCUAUGCAAACCUAAUAUAAUUAGUUUCUGUCCAAAGAUGAUUCUGGAAUUAUAUGCUUUUGAUGCAAUAAGAAAACAUUCAGUUAAAGUUUUCUAUUUCUGUCAAUUGUUAGAUGAACAAAACUGACCAAAUAAUUUUGUAUAGUUUUUCAGUCAUGAGAAUCAUUUCCCUACAGAUAUCUAAAAUAAAGAUGUUGAGCUCACAAAUUUAUGUUCUAGAUCCCAUGACUAAUGUUUUGCUAAUGGGAGUAUGUGAAAGGUAUCUGUUUCGUUUUGUAGACAUUUAUAAAGUUUUUUUUCUUUUACUCUUUUAAUCAGUGGGAGUAAUAUAAUUUUGUCUCUUUUAAUCAGUGGGAGUAAAGAUUACCUUUUGUAUUGAAAAUUUGAAGUCUUAGUGGCUGAUACUUUAAGAGUAAAUUUGGUUUAAAAUUUGUUCAUAAGUUUUAAUAAGGGAUCCUGAUUUUGUAAACAGUAUGUCGUAUUUUACUUGUUCUCUUAUUAUAUUCUAAAUUGACAGAAAAGUUGGAUUUUGUUACCAACGUUGUUGAGUUCUUUUGUGAACUACUUUUGUACUGAAAUAUAUUUUUCAUAUUUUCAGUUCGACUAUUGUGAGCUAAUGUUUUGACUAUUAGCUCUUGAUAUCAUGACUUUGUUAGUAACAUAGUGCUUUGAGUUGAGUGUGCAUGUAAUCAUGGAGUGCAAGGAACUGUCCAAUGUGUGCCUUGUUUUCCUUGGUUUUGCACUUAGUCUCAAAGUGACAAGUUACUUGAAAGGUAUGAUUGCAUACUUUAGUGGACUCAAGUGAUCACCAUAUAUAUUUAUCUCGUUAAGGUAUUCUCAUUGACAUUCAAGUGGGAGAAUGUAAAACCAUUUUGUGAAUGACAAUGAUUAUGCCGAGAAUAAUUGAGGGAAUAUUGACUUGGCAAUCAAGUUAAUGAAAUCUCUAGGACUCUCGGUGCCUUAAGGAAAUAAACAUAUUGGAGUCCUA